This 375-nucleotide ribosomal RNA is filed under the name Bacillus atrophaeus. RNAcentral describes it as "bacterial SSU rRNA". It matches the Rfam family "Bacterial small subunit ribosomal RNA", at positions 1 to 365 of the family's 1533-position model. The record is from RNAcentral. Lineage: Bacteria; Bacillati; Bacillota; Bacilli; Caryophanales; Bacillaceae.
UUUAUCGGAGAGUUUGAUCCUGGCUCAGGACGAACGCUGGCGGCGUGCCUAAUACAUGCAAGUCGAGCGGACAGAUGGGAGCUUGCUCCCUGAUGUUAGCGGCGGACGGGUGAGUAACACGUGGGUAACCUGCCUGUAAGACUGGGAUAACUCCGGGAAACCGGGGCUAAUACCGGAUACUUGUUUGAACCGCAUGGUUCAAACAUAAAAGGUGGCUUCGGCUACCACUUACAGAUGGACCCGCGGCGCAUUAGCUAGUUGGUGAGGUGAUGGCUCACCAAGGCAACGAUGCGUAGCCGACCUGAGAGGGUGAUCGGCCACACUGGGACUGAGACACGGCCCAGACUCCUACGGGAGGCAGCAGUAGGGAAUCUU